Molecule: ribosomal RNA, 440 nt
Filed under: uncultured bacterium
Lineage: Bacteria
Description: partial 16S ribosomal RNA
Rfam family: Bacterial small subunit ribosomal RNA
Source: RNAcentral
CCUACGGGAGGCAGCAGUGGGGAAUAUUGCACAAUGGGGGAAACCCUGAUGCAGCGACGCCGCGUGAGUGAAGAAGUAUUUCGGUACGUAAAGCUCUAUCAGCAGGGAAGAAAAUGACGGUACCUGACUAAGAAGCCCCGGCUAACUACGUGACAGCAGGCGCGGUAAUACGUAGGGGGCAAGCGUUAUACGGAUUUACUGGGUGUAAAGGGGGCGUAGACGGCAGCGCAAGUCUGGAGUGAAAGCCUCUGGCUUAACCAUGGAACUGCUUUGGAAACUGGGCAGCUAGAGUGCAGGAGAGGUAAGCGGAAUUCCUAGUGUAGCGGUGAAAUGCGUAGAUAUUAGGAGGAACACCAGUUGCGAAGGCGGCUUACUGGACUGUAACUGACGUUGAGGCUCGAAAGCGUGGGGAGCAAACAGGAUUAGAUACCCCAGUAGUC